Molecule: ribosomal RNA, 253 nt
Filed under: uncultured bacterium
Lineage: Bacteria
Description: partial 16S ribosomal RNA
Rfam family: Bacterial small subunit ribosomal RNA
Source: RNAcentral
UACGAAGGGGGCGAGCGUUGCUCGGAAUCACUGGGCGUAAAGGGCGCGUAGGCGGCCCUCCUAGUCGCGUGUGAAAGCCCCGGGCUCAACCUGGGAACUGCAUUUGAGACUGCUCUGCUCGGGUGCGGAAGAGGGAAGCGGAAUUUCCGGUGUAGCGGUGAAAUGCGUAGAUAUCGGAAGGAACACCAGUGGCGAAAGCGGCUUCCUGGUCCGACACCGACGUUCAGGCACGAAAGCGUGGGGAGCAAACAGG